UAAGGAAUAUUGGACAAUGGGCGCAAGCCUGAUCCAGCCAUGCCGCGUGAAGGAUGAAGGCCCUAUGGGUCGUAAACUUCUUUUAUACGGGACAAAACCCCCCGAUGCGUCGGGGGUUGAUGGUACUGUAAGAAUAAGGGUCGGCUAACUUCGUGCCAGCAGCCGCGGUAAUACGAAGGACCCGAGCGUUAUCCGGAUUUAUUGGGUUUAAAGGGUGCGUAGGCGGACUAGUAAGUCAGUGGUGAAAGCCCAUCGCUUAACGGUGGAACUGCCAUUGAUACUGCUAGUCUUGAGUAUGGUUGAGGUGGGCGGAAUGUGUCAUGUAGCGGUGAAAUGCUUAGAUAUGACCCAGAACACCAAUUGCGAAGGCAGCUCGCUAAGCCAUAACUGACGCUGAGGCACGAAAGCGUGGGGAGCAAACAGGAUUAGAUACCCUGGUAGUCCACGCCCUAAACUAUGAUAACUCGUUGUUGGCGAUACACAGUCAGCGACUAAGCGAAAGCAUUAAGUUAUCCACCUGGGAAGUACGACCGCAAGGUUGA
Molecule: ribosomal RNA, 542 nt
Filed under: uncultured Bacteroidota bacterium
Lineage: Bacteria; Pseudomonadati; Bacteroidota
Description: bacterial SSU rRNA
Rfam family: Bacterial small subunit ribosomal RNA
Source: RNAcentral